Long non-coding RNA from Python bivittatus (Burmese python), 868 nucleotides. RefSeq lists it as uncharacterized. The record is from RefSeq and is a predicted model, not a curated record. NCBI's taxonomy places the organism in Eukaryota, Metazoa, Chordata, Lepidosauria, Squamata, Pythonidae.
UCUACAUAGUGGGACUGACAGUGUAGCAGUUAAGGAGUUGAUGUGGGACCCAUUGUAUCCAAGGUAAAUUUCACCUACAUCUCAUUUAGGAACAGUUCUCUCAACUCUGUCCAUCUCACGGAAUGGUUGGGGCAGGAAUCUGCAAUUUCCUGUCGGGUUCGCCUUCAUUUUCCCAUGUUUCAAGCAAGUUGCAAGCUAACUGUUGGGAAUCUCUCUUCCAAAGGUUCACUCUAGCACACCUGAACCUUCAUCCUGAAGAGAGAAGAGGCAUUUAGCUGAGGAUCUAGCUGCCAUGGGGAGCUGAGAGGAAAAUCAGCCUGAGAUGUAGAUUCUGUAACUGCAUCCAGGGCCAAAAUGAUGGUGAUGCUGGAAUCAAGUAAAGAAAAGAAAAUGAAUACCCCUUUGAGUAACCAGCCACAGGAAGGUGCAUCUCUCUGCCUGAAGAACUUCCCUUGGAGAAAGAUUUAGAACUCCUUAAAAUAGUACGAAUUAGUCAUGAUUCGCUCCGGGAGACUGGAUUCGGUCAUUCUGAAAUCAUUGUUAGAAAGAAAAAAAGGAGGUAUUGCUGUGUAAAAGAUGCCAGAGGAAAAAAUGGUCCCUAAACAGACAGAUAAACCCUACAUAAGCAAGCAAGCAAGAAUGCUCCAAAACCGGAAAAAUUUAAUGUUGCUGGCUGAAUGUUUAACUUCAACAUGCAUUUUUCUGGCGUGGAAAUGGCACUGCAUUGUACUUCUCUACUAAUUCUGGAGUUCAGAGUGAGAACAGCUGUCUGAGUCAGCCACUCUUUAAAGUAGAUCGCUCCAUCCGACGAAGGUGUUUCCUUUCGUGUUGGAAAGGAAAAUUUCAAAACACAGGCCUGAUAUUAAAA